UGGAUUUUCCUCGUGGCCAUAACACCCACCACCACCACCACCGCCACCGCCCAGGUCCGGAAGAAGAAGUGUACCCACCCGCAGCACGGCCACAUCCACCUCCCUACUAUGAAAACGAGCCGCCGCCACCGCCACCACCAGUAGUCCACCAUCCGCAUCCAGCCCCUUACUAUGCAAACGAGCCGCCGCCGCCACCGCAAGUGACCCAUGUUCACCAUGGAGGAGGUGCCGGAGGACCACAUCCCCCAGAUUUCCGCAACGAUCCACCACCACCACCACCACCUGUUGUUGAGCAUGUUUCCCAUCACUCCUUUCAUCC
RNAcentral lists this long non-coding RNA (319 nucleotides) under Coffea arabica (coffee). RNAcentral describes it as "long non-coding RNA (CARA_LNC004723)". Lineage: Eukaryota; Viridiplantae; Streptophyta; Magnoliopsida; Gentianales; Rubiaceae. The record is from RNAcentral.